GUAGGUGGUUUGUCGCGUUGUUCGUGAAAACUCACAGCUUAACUGUGGGCGUGCGGGCGAUACGGGCAGACUAGAGUACUGCAGGGGAGACUGGAAUUCCUGGUGUAGCGGUGGAAUGCGCAGAUAUCAGGAGGAACACCGGUGGCGAAGGCGGGUCUCUGGGCAGUAACUGACGCUGAGGAGCGAAAGCGUGGGGAGCGAACAGGAUUAGAUACCCUGGUAGUCCACGCCGUAAACGGUGGGUACUAGGUGUGGGUUCCUUCCUUGGGAUCCGUGCCGUAGCUAACGCAUUAAGUACCCCGCCUGGGGAGUACGGCCGCAAGGCUAAAACUCAAAGGAAUUGACGGGGGCCCGCACAAGCGGCGGAGCAUGUGGAUUAAUUCGAUGCAACGCGAAGAACCUUACCUGGGUUUGACAUGCACAGGACGCCGGCAGAGAUGUCGGUUCCCUUGUGGCCUGUGUGCAGGUGGUGCAUGGCUGUCGUCAACUCGUGUCGUGAGAUGUUGGGUUAAGUCCCGCAACGAGCGCAACCCUUGUCCUAUGUUGCCAGCGGGUUAUGCCGGGGACUCGUAGGAGACUGCCGGGGUCAACUCGGAGGAAGGUGGGGAUGACGUCAAGUCAUCACGCCCCUUAUGUCCAGGGCUUCACACAUGCUACAAUGGCCGGUACAAAGGGCUGCGAUGCCGUGAGGUGGAGCGAAUCCUUUCAAAGCCGGUCUCAGUUCGGAUCGGGGUCUGCAACUCGACCCCGUGAAGUCGGAGUCGCUAGUA
Molecule: ribosomal RNA, 770 nt
Filed under: uncultured Mycobacterium sp.
Lineage: Bacteria; Bacillati; Actinomycetota; Actinomycetes; Mycobacteriales; Mycobacteriaceae
Description: bacterial SSU rRNA
Rfam family: Bacterial small subunit ribosomal RNA
Source: RNAcentral